CUAGUUGGCGGGGUAAUGGCCCACCAAGGCAACGAUGGGUAGCAGGUGUGAGAGCAUGACCUGCCUCAUUGGGACUGAGACACUGCCCAGACACCUACGGGUGGCUGCAGUCGAGAAUCUUCGGCAAUGGACGAAAGUCUGACCGAGCGACGCCGCGUGCGGGAUGAAGGCCUUCGGGUUGUAAACCGCUGUCGGAGGGGAACAAAUGUACGGGGGUACUCCCCUGUAUUUGAGUGAACCUAGGAGGAAGGAGAGGCUAAGCUCGUGCCAGCAGCCGCGGUAAGACGAGCUCUCCGAACGUUAUUCGGUAUCACUGGGCUUAAAGAGUUCGUAGGCGGUCUGGUAGGUGAGGUGUGAAAUCCCCCGGCUCAACCGGGGAACUGCGCUUCAAACCGCCGGACUUGAGGGAGACAGAGGUGGGCGGAACAGAUGGUGGAGCGGUGAAAUGCGUUGAUAUCAUCUGGAACACCGGUGGCGAAAGCGGCCCACUGGGUCUUUUCUGACGCUGAGGAACGAAAGCUAGGGUAGCGAACGGGAUUAGAUACCCCGGUAGUCCUAGCCGUAAACGAUGAGCACUAGCCCGUGGGGACUUUCACAUCCUCUCGGGCGUAGCGAAAGUGUUAA
RNAcentral lists this ribosomal RNA (624 nucleotides) under uncultured Planctomycetota bacterium. RNAcentral's name for it is "bacterial SSU rRNA". It matches the Rfam family "Bacterial small subunit ribosomal RNA", at positions 245 to 863 of the family's 1533-position model. Lineage: Bacteria; Pseudomonadati; Planctomycetota. The record is from RNAcentral.